AUGUGUGAGAACUCGACGCCUUCGAGUGACUUGUUGCGAGCGGCAACGGGCCCCGGGCCCCCAUGUCGUCGCCUCGUUCUCGGGGUCCUCGGCCGCGCUCGCCAGGACGGGCUCGCAGAGGAGGUCUUCCUCCAGUUCGCUAGGGAGGGCACCACCGUGCAGGUGUUUAACGCCAUGAUGGACAUGUACGGCCGCUCCGCCCGCUUCGACGAUGUUUAG
RNAcentral lists this ribosomal RNA (219 nucleotides) under Triticum aestivum (bread wheat). RNAcentral describes it as "partial small subunit ribosomal RNA". The record is from RNAcentral. Lineage: Eukaryota; Viridiplantae; Streptophyta; Magnoliopsida; Poales; Poaceae.